AGAGUUUGAUCCUGGCUCAGGACGAACGCUGGCGGCGUGCUUAACACAUGCAAGUCGAACGAUGAGGCUGGAGCUUGCUCCGGCGGAUUAGUGGCGAACGGGUGAGUAACACGUGAGUAACCUGCCCUUCACUCUGGGAUAAGCACUGGAAACGGUGUCUAAUACCGGAUAUGACCUCCGGCCGCAUGGCCAGGGGGUGGAAAGAUUUAUCGGUGGUGGAUGGACUCGCGGCCUAUCAGGUAGUUGGUGAGGUAAUGGCUCACCAAGCCUACGACGGGUAGCCGGCCUGAGAGGGUGACCGGCCACACUGGGACUGAGACACGGCCCAGACUCCUACGGGAGGCAGCAGUGGGGAAUAUUGCACAAUGGGCGAAAGCCUGAUGCAGCAACGCCGCGUGAGGGACGACGGCCUUCGGGUUGUAAACCUCUUUUAGUAGGGAAGAAGCGUAAAAGUGACGGUACCUGCAGAAAAAGCACCGGCUAACUACGUGCCAGCAGCCGCGGUAAUACGUAGGGUGCAAGCGUUGUCCGGAAUUAUUGGGCGUAAAGAGCUCGUAGGCGGUUUGUCACGUCUGCUGUGAAAUCUGGGGGCUCAACCCCCAGCCUGCAGUGGGUACGGGCAGACUAGAGUGCGGUAGGGGAGAUUGGAAUUCCUGGUGUAGCGGUGGAAUGCGCAGAUAUCAGGAGGAACACCGAUGGCGAAGGCAGAUCUCUGGGCCGUAACUGACGCUGAGGAGCGAAAGCAUGGGGAGCGAACAGGAUUAGAUACCCUGGUAGUCCAUGCCGUAAACGUUGGGAACUAGAUGUAGGGUCCAUUCCACGGAUUCUGUGUCGCAGCUAACGCAUUAAGUUCCCCGCCUGGGGAGUACGGCCGCAAGGCUAAAACUCAAAGGAAUUGACGGGGGCCCGCACAAGCGGCGGAGCAUGCGGAUUAAUUCGAUGCAACGCGAAGAACCUUACCAAGGCUUGACAUAUACGAGAACACUGCAGAAAUGUAGGACUCUUUGGACACUCGUAUACAGGUGGUGCAUGGUUGUCGUCAGCUCGUGUCGUGAGAUGUUCGGUUAAGUCCGGCAACGAGCGCAACCCUCGUUCUAUGUUGCCAGCACGUUAUGGUGGGAACUCAUAGGAGACUGCCGGGGUCAACUCGGAGGAAGGUGGGGAUGACGUCAAAUCAUCAUGCCCCUUAUGUCUUGGGCUUCACGCAUGCUACAAUGGCCGGUACAAAGGGCUGCAAUACCGUAAGGUGGAGCGAAUCCCAAAAAGCCGGUCUCAGUUCGGAUUGAGGUCUGCAACUCGACCUCAUGAAGUCGGAGUCGCUAGUAAUCGCAGAUCAGCAACGCUGCGGUGAAUACGUUCCCGGGCCUUGUACACACCGCCCGUCAAGUCAUGAAAGUCGGUAACACCCGAAGCCAGUGGCCCAACCGUAAGGAGGGAGCUGUCGAAGGUGGGAUCGGUAAUUAGGACUAAGUCGUAACAAGGUAGCCGUACCGGAAGGUGCGGCUG
Molecule: ribosomal RNA, 1506 nt
Filed under: Homoserinimonas sp. OAct 916
Lineage: Bacteria; Bacillati; Actinomycetota; Actinomycetes; Micrococcales; Microbacteriaceae
Description: bacterial SSU rRNA
Rfam family: Bacterial small subunit ribosomal RNA
Source: RNAcentral